Molecule: ribosomal RNA, 626 nt
Filed under: uncultured bacterium
Lineage: Bacteria
Description: bacterial SSU rRNA
Rfam family: Bacterial small subunit ribosomal RNA
Source: RNAcentral
UUGGUGGGGUAAUGGCCUACCAAGGCGACGACGGGUAGCCGGCCUGAGAGGGCGACCGGCCACACUGGGACUGAGACACGGCCCAGACUCCUACGGGAGGCAGCAGUGGGGAAUAUUGCGCAAUGGGCGAAAGCCUGACGCAGCGACGCCGCGUGAGGGAUGAAGGCCUUCGGGUUGUAAACCUCUUUCAGCAGGGAAGAAGCGAAAGUGACGGUACCUGCAGAAGAAGCACCGGCUAACUACGUGCCAGCAGCCGCGGUAAUACGUAGGGUGCAAGCGUUGUCCGGAAUUAUUGGGCGUAAAGAGCUCGUAGGCGGUCUGUCGCGUCUGCUGUGAAAACUCGGGGCUUAACCCCGGGCCUGCAGUGGGUACGGGCAGACUAGAGUGCGGUAGGGGAGACUGGAAUUCCUGGUGUAGCGGUGAAAUGCGCAGAUAUCAGGAGGAACACCGGUGGCGAAGGCGGGUCUCUGGGCCGUAACUGACGCUGAGGAGCGAAAGCGUGGGGAGCGAACAGGAUUAGAUACCCUGGUAGUCCACGCCGUAAACGUUGGGCGCUAGGUGUGGGGCUCUUUCCACGAGUUCCGUGCCGCAGCUAACGCAUUAAGCGCCCCGCCUGGGGAGUACGG